UGUCUUUACUUUGCGAUAACGCAAUUAUAUACAACUUUCAGCAACGGAUCUCUUGGCUCUCGCAUCGAUGAAGAACGCAGCGAAAUGCGAUAAGUAAUGUGAAUUGCAGAAUUCAGUGAAUCAUCGAAUCUUUGAACGCACCUUGCGCUCCUUGGUAUUCCGAGGAGCAUGCCUGUUUGAGUCUCGUGGAAUUCUCAACCUUCAACUUUGUUGUCGAAGGCUUGGACUUGGAGGUUGUGCCGGCUCUAGUAGUCGGCUCCUCUGAAAUGCAUCAGUGCGAACGUUACCAGCCGCUUCAGCGUGAUAAUUAUCUGCGUUGCUGUGGAGGGUAUGUCAGUGUUCGUGCUUCGAACCGUCUUCGGACAACAUUUCAUCUCUGAGCUCAAAUCAGGUAGGACUACCCGCUGAACUUAAGCAUAUCAAUAAGCGGAGGA
RNAcentral lists this ribosomal RNA (434 nucleotides) under uncultured fungus. RNAcentral describes it as "eukaryotic LSU rRNA". The stretch from base 33 to 186 matches the Rfam family "5.8S ribosomal RNA". The record is from RNAcentral. Lineage: Eukaryota; Fungi.